UUGAUUCUUUGUAUCAGAUUCAGACCACAUGCAUAUUCCAGCAUAAAAGCGGCGUCCGUUGGACUCCGAAGCACAUUUAUCACUUCCACAUGUUUGAGAGGUAGAAGGUCAGAAGACCAUUCAAUAAUGAUCCCUCCGCAGGUUCACCUACGGAGA
This 156-nucleotide unclassified non-coding RNA is filed under the name uncultured fungus. RNAcentral describes it as "sequence contains ITS1". The record is from RNAcentral. Lineage: Eukaryota; Fungi.